UUUUGUAUAAUGGGUCAGCGACUUAUAUUCUGUAGCAAGGUUAACCGAAUAGGGGAGCCGAAGGGAAACCGAGUCUUAACUGGGCGUUAAGUUGCAGGGUAUAGACCCGAAACCCGGUGAUCUAGCCAUGGGCAGGUUGAAGGUUGGGUAACACUAACUGGAGGACCGAACCGACUAAUGUUGAAAAAUUAGCGGAUGACUUGUGGCUGGGGGUGAAAGGCCAAUCAAACCGGGAGAUAGCUGGUUCUCCCCGAAAGCUAUUUAGGUAGCGCCUCGUGAAUUCAUCUCCGGGGGUAGAGCACUGUUUCGGCAAGGGGGUCAUCCCGACUUACCAACCCGAUGCAAACUGCGAAUACCGGAGAAUGUUAUCACGGGAGACACACGGCGGGUGCUAACGUCCGUCGUGAAGAGGGAAACAACCCAGACCGCCAGCUAAGGUCCCAAAGUCAUGGUUAAGUGGGAAACGAUGUGGGAAGGCCCAGACAGCCAGGAUGUUGGCUUAGAAGCAGCCAUCAUUUAAAGAAAGCGUAAUAGCUCACUGGUCGAGUCGGCCUGCGCGGAAGAUGUAACGGGGCUAAACCAUGCACCGAAGCUGCGGCAGCGACGCUUA
Molecule: ribosomal RNA, 610 nt
Filed under: Escherichia coli
Lineage: Bacteria; Pseudomonadati; Pseudomonadota; Gammaproteobacteria; Enterobacterales; Enterobacteriaceae
Description: partial 23S ribosomal RNA
Rfam family: Bacterial large subunit ribosomal RNA
Source: RNAcentral